UGGUGGAGUGAUUUGUCUGCUUAAUUGCGAUAACGAACGAGACCUUAACCUGCUAAAUAGUCAGGCCAGCUUCUGCUGGUCGCAGGCUUCUUAGAGGGACUAUCGGCUUCAAGCCGAUGGAAGUUUGAGGCAAUAACA
RNAcentral lists this ribosomal RNA (138 nucleotides) under uncultured eukaryote. RNAcentral's name for it is "partial 18S ribosomal RNA". It matches the Rfam family "Eukaryotic small subunit ribosomal RNA", at positions 1299 to 1458 of the family's 1831-position model. The record is from RNAcentral.